This 376-nucleotide transfer RNA is filed under the name secondary endosymbiont of Calophya schini. Its description in RNAcentral is "intergenic spacer". The stretch from base 72 to 145 matches the Rfam family "tRNA". The record is from RNAcentral. Lineage: Bacteria; Pseudomonadati; Pseudomonadota; Gammaproteobacteria; Enterobacterales; Enterobacteriaceae.
UAUUAAAUAUUUGUCAAGUGAGUGUCCACACAAAUUAUUUAAAAUUACUGUAUUUAAAAAGUGUUAAAACAAGGCUUGUAGCUCAGCUGGUUAGAGCACACCCCUGAUAAGGGUGAGGUCAGUGGUUCAAAUCCACUCAGGCCUACAAACUUAUUAAUUAAAACAUUAUUUUUUUUAAAAAUUAAUUUUAAAAUAUUAAUUUUUAAAAAAAAUAAAGGGGCUAUAGCUCAGCUGGUUAGAGCGCCUGUUUUGCACGCAGGGGGUCAGCGGUUCGAUGCCGCUUAGCUCCAAAAUACAGUAAUUAUUUUAUCAAUAUAUUUUUAUUAUAUAAAAAAUUAUUACAUUUUAAGUAAAAACAGAUAGCUCAGGGUUGUAA